This is a long non-coding RNA of Ornithodoros turicata, 382 nucleotides long. RefSeq lists it as uncharacterized. The transcript is spliced from 3 exons. Lineage: Eukaryota; Metazoa; Arthropoda; Arachnida; Ixodida; Argasidae. The record is from RefSeq and is a predicted model, not a curated record.
UGUCUUGCAGAGAAAAUAAAUUGUAUGUUCCUCAAAUCAAGAAGGAGACACCAAGUAGCAGCCACACCGCUAGUGAGCUACAAAUGGCGUUUCUAGUACGGCGCACCAUGCUUUUGCUACUUGUCUUCACCGUUUUAUCGAUGCCUGCAGCAUGGGAUUUAAUCGCCGACAUAAACAGUGCAGAAGAGUGCAACGAUGAAGGCUCUGAAUGCUACAACGACGAUGACUGUGGAGGAGGAUGCAAAUGCGGUACUUACAGCGUAUGCAUCCAGGCGUAGCCAGCCAGCUCCCAGGUGGGCCUUAAUGAAUAGAUGGGCAACGAAAUUGCGGGCCACUGAAAUACAAGUCGACAUUGAAUUUCAUGUAACCGACAACAUAUCAA